Molecule: long non-coding RNA, 329 nt
Filed under: Panax ginseng (ginseng)
Lineage: Eukaryota; Viridiplantae; Streptophyta; Magnoliopsida; Apiales; Araliaceae
Description: long non-coding RNA (PGIN_LNC005903)
Source: RNAcentral
AUGGAAGUUGUGCGAGGCCUCGUUCGAACCUAUAUACACCGGGUUUGAAUUUAUGUAAAAAUUCAGUUUUUAGCAAGAUAUGGCAGUGAUGUUUUAUAAAAGAGGUUUUUCAAACGCUGAUGCUCAAUAGGAAUUGAGACCUUUUAUACUCCCAUUUUUAUUAAGUGAUCGGCUUGAUUGAUUUUAUUUGACGGAUGCGAGGCAUCCGUACGAAAAUAAUAUACAAAAAUAAUGUCGACUUCCUCAUGGGUAUGGAAACCAUCUGAGGAAAUUCCGACACCGCAGAAUAAUUUACAAGCUGCUUACAGCUGAAAAUGUCCAUCAUGGGA